Molecule: ribosomal RNA, 406 nt
Filed under: uncultured bacterium
Lineage: Bacteria
Description: partial 16S ribosomal RNA
Rfam family: Bacterial small subunit ribosomal RNA
Source: RNAcentral
AUUGAACGCUGGCGGCAGGCCUAACACAUGCAAGUCGAACGAGUGGCGGACGGGUGAGUAAUGUCUGGGAAUCUGCCCUUAGGUUCGGAAUAACAGCUGGAAACGGCUGCUAAUACCGGAUGCCUGAGGAUGAGCCCGCGUUGGAUUAGGUAGUUGGUGGGGUAAAGGCCUACCAAGCCGACGAUCCAUAGCUGGUCUGAUAGGAUGAUCAGCCACACUGGGACUGAGACAUGGCCCAGACUCCUACGGGAGGCAGCAGUGGGGAAUAUUGGACAAUGGGCGAAAGCCUGAUCCAGCAAUGCCGCGUGAGUGAUGAAGGCCCUAGGUUUGUAAAGCUCUUUUACCCGGGAAGCUGUACCGGGAGAAUAAGCCCCGGCUAACUCCGUGCCAGCAGCCGCGGUAAUAC